Molecule: small nuclear RNA, 107 nt
Organism: Otolemur garnettii (small-eared galago)
Lineage: Eukaryota; Metazoa; Chordata; Mammalia; Primates; Galagidae
Source: Ensembl
GUGCUCGCUUCAGCAGCACAUAUACUAAAAUUGGAACGAUACAGAGAAGAUUAGCUUGGCCCCUGCGCAAGGAUGACAUGCAAAUUUGUGAAGCGUUCCAUAUUUUU